GUGAGGAAUAUUGGUCAAUGGGCGGGAGCCUGAACCAGCCAAGUCGCGUGAAGGAAGAAGGAUCUAUGGUUCGUAAACUUCUUUUGCAGGGGAAUAAAGUGCGGGACGUGUCCUGUUUUGUAUGUACCCUGAGAAUAAGGAUCGGCUAACUCCGUGCCAGCAGCCGCGGUAAUACGGAGGAUCCGAGCGUUAUCCGGAUUUAUUGGGUUUAAAGGGUGCGUAGGUGGUUUGAUAAGUCAGCGGUGAAAGUUUGCAGCUUAACUGUAAAAAUGCCGUUGAAACUGUCGGACUUGAGUGUAAAUGAGGUAGGCGGAAUGCGUGGUGUAGCGGUGAAAUGCAUAGAUAUCACGCAGAACUCCGAUUGCGAAGGCAGCUUACUAAGCUACAACUGACACUGAAGCACGAAAGCGUGGGGAUCAAACAGGAUUAGAAACCCGGGUAGUCC
This 445-nucleotide ribosomal RNA is filed under the name uncultured bacterium. RNAcentral's name for it is "partial 16S ribosomal RNA". It matches the Rfam family "Bacterial small subunit ribosomal RNA", at positions 354 to 796 of the family's 1533-position model. The record is from RNAcentral.